GUGUCGCUGUGGCUCGCAGCAGUAUGUUGGCUGAAACGGCCACGUUUGAUUUGCCACUGGGAUGAUGGAUGGCAUGUUAAGACCAGCUUCUCGGAGCCUUAUAGUUACCACAGUGAUCAGUCUUGAUGAGUGAACUUAAGGUUUUAGGUCAAGGCACCAGUUUUAGGAAGGCAGAGUCUCAACGUAUCACACUUCUUUGAGUUUGGGUGUUCGGUCAUUGCUGUGGAACACCAGUUUGAGCUUUGAAGCCAAGAAGGCAAAAUCACAUGCAAGAAUCAUGGGACCUCAUAAGCCCCAAAUGCCUGAAGACUGGCCUUGUCAAUUGGAUGACCUUUCAACUGGCUAACCUGGACAGUCCAAGCUGGUGGGAGAAUCCACAAUCUUGCUUCUCAAAAGAUCUCUGGAUUCUUCCCACUGUUGUCCAUCUCAGAUUGAUAUUUUUGUCAACUACAAUAAAAAUGAGUUGUUUAAAAAAAUAA
This is a long non-coding RNA of Dama dama (fallow deer), 479 nucleotides long. RefSeq lists it as uncharacterized. The record is from RefSeq and is a predicted model, not a curated record. Lineage: Eukaryota; Metazoa; Chordata; Mammalia; Artiodactyla; Cervidae. The transcript has 3 exons.